CCAACAGGGAUUGCCUUAGUAGCGGCGAGUGAAGCGGCAAAAGCUCAAAUUUGAAAUCUGGUACUUUCAGUAUCCGAGUUGUAAUUUGUAGAAGCAACUUUGGUGAUGGUCUUUGCAUAAGUUCCUUGGAAUAGGACGUCAUAGAGGGUGAGAAUCCCGUAUAUGGUGAAGAACCCACACUAUGUAAAGUGCUUUCGAAGAGUCGAGUUGUUUGGGAAUGCAGCUCAAAGUGGGUGGUAAAUUCCAUCUAAAGCUAAAUAUUGGCGAGAGACCGAUAGCGAACAAGUACUGUGAAGGAAAGAUGAAAAGAACUUUGAAAAGAGAGUGAAAAAGUACGUGAAAUUGUUGAAAGGGAAGGGAUCUAAAUCAGACAUGGUAUUUUGUGAUCAACAGUCUUUCGGGAUUGUGCACUCGCAUUUUACUAGGCCAGCAUCGGUUAGAAGGGGGUAAAAAAGAUUUUGGAAUGUGGCUCCUCGGAGUGUUAUAGCCAAAGUUAAUUGCCCCAUUUCUGACCGAGGACCGCGUCUUUUGACUAGGAUGCUGGCGUA
RNAcentral lists this ribosomal RNA (548 nucleotides) under Zygoascus hellenicus. Its description in RNAcentral is "eukaryotic LSU rRNA". It matches the Rfam family "Eukaryotic large subunit ribosomal RNA", at positions 65 to 633 of the family's 3401-position model. Lineage: Eukaryota; Fungi; Ascomycota; Dipodascomycetes; Dipodascales; Trichomonascaceae. The record is from RNAcentral.